This 1075-nucleotide long non-coding RNA is filed under the name Parus major (Great Tit). Its description in RNAcentral is "lncRNA (ENSPMJG00000018698.1)". The record is from RNAcentral. Lineage: Eukaryota; Metazoa; Chordata; Aves; Passeriformes; Paridae.
AUGCAGAUGUGCCAGAGUGGGACAGCAGAUUCCAAGAGUUCCUGUGCUCUACAGCAUCAAAACUGGCUCCCUGCAGACCUCAGAGCCAGCCUCGGCUCAUCCCUUCUCCUGGUGCCCCCAGCCCUGGUGGCCCUUCCCUGGCUGUGGCAGGGGCCACCCCAACAUUGGCCCUGGCGCUGGCACCAGCCGUUCCACGAUGCAACCUGUACACGUUCUGUCACGUACAAGAGCUGUUUAUAAUCUACUGUAUUACAGCAGUUAAAAUAUAUUUUGCUAUUAGGGGAGGAAAAGAAAUUGCCUUGUUCUGUUUUUUUCUCGGAGGCUCCUGGUUUGGGGGGAGUUACAAGAGGGCACAGAGGAUGGGAGUGGGAGCAGAGUAAGAUAUGUGGGGUUUCUCUCCUGGGAGAUGUUGGGAAGAGCUUUGUGGAGGAAGGGAAGCCUGAAGCUGCCUGUGCCCACAGCUGUAUCCUGGGUGGGGUGCAAGUGUCUCCUUACUCUCCAAGGACAGGGAGGGGAGAGGGAUUGAGACAUCAUGCCACAGCAGAACCAGGAUUGGAGGCACCAGGCAGGAUCACAGGAUCGUAGAGGAGAGAUCUUGGCUGGGUGUGUGGGGAGAAACUUUUACACAAGCCCUUCUUGAGGUCCUAGAAACCAGCAUGAAAUGUCCAAGGUGGGAAGUUGGGGUUUUCUAAGCUUUGUAUUGGCCAUUACAUCCCUGAGAGGGGAAAGGAUGUCCUUGAUAUUGGGGCAGGAGCACAGGGAAGGAGUCAACAGCCUUGGGAACAGUUUUUCACCUCCUGAUUUAAUAUACAUCAAAUUGGAGCAGCUGCCAAAUGUCUAUUGUGUUGGUGACUUCUGCCUUUACUUUGGGCCUGAAAAGGGUUUGUGAGCCAAGAACUUAAUGGGAUAUUUUCCCAGCUGCAUACCACGUGCUUCAAAGGCCUGUCUGUGUACUUAAGCUGUUACAGCUACAGAACAAGGCCAUUAAUCUUCCCAUUCUUUCUGGUGGGAAUAUUAAGUACUUCCAAAGAGGUGUCAGAUAGAAAAUAAAAACUUCUGUCAAGAUUUUUUUGCA